This is a small nuclear RNA of Mustela putorius furo (domestic ferret), 107 nucleotides long. Lineage: Eukaryota; Metazoa; Chordata; Mammalia; Carnivora; Mustelidae. The record is from Ensembl.
GUGCUCGCUUCAACAGCACAUUUACUAAAAUUGGAAUGAUGCAGAGAAGAUUAACAUGGCCCCUGCAUAAGGAUAACACAUAAAUUUGUGAAGCAUUCCAUAUUAAA